This 245-nucleotide ribosomal RNA is filed under the name uncultured archaeon. RNAcentral describes it as "partial 16S ribosomal RNA". It matches the Rfam family "Archaeal small subunit ribosomal RNA", at positions 474 to 718 of the family's 1478-position model. The record is from RNAcentral.
UCCCAGCGGUCCAAGUCGCAACCACGUUUAUUGGGUCUAAGACAUCCGUAGCUUGCUUUACAAGUCUCUUGUGAAAUCUGGCCUCUUAAGGGUCGGGCGUGCAAGAGAUACUGUUUAGCUAGAGACCGGGAGACGUUAUGAGUACUAUUAGGGUAGCGGUAAAAUGCGUUGAUCCUAACAGGACUAACAACAGCGAAGGCACGUAACGAGAACGGAUCUGACAGUGAGGGAUGAAGGCUAGGGGC